AUGGACGCAAGUCUGAUGGAGCAACGCCGCGUGAGUGAAGAAGGCUUUCGGGUCGUAAAACUCUGUUGUUGGAGAAGAAUGGUCGGCAGAGUAACUGUUGUCGGCGUGACGGUAUCCAACCAGAAAGCCACGGCUAACUACGUGCCAGCAGCCGCGGUAAUACGUAGGUGGCAAGCGUUAUCCGGAUUUAUUGGGCGUAAAGCGAGCGCAGGCGGUUUUUUAAGUCUGAUGUGAAAGCCCUCGGCUUAACCGAGGAAGUGCAUCGGAAACUGGGAAACUUGAGUGCAGAAGAGGACAGUGGAACUCCAUGUGUAGCGGUGAAAUGCGUAGAUAUAUGGAAGAACACCAGUGGCGAAGGCGGCUGUCUGGUCUGUAACUGACGCUGAGGCUCGAAAGCAUGGGUAGCGAACAGGAUUAGAUACCCUGGUAGUCCAUGCCGUAAACGAUGAAUGCUAGGUGUUGGAGGGUUUCCGCCCUUCAGUGCCGCAGCUAACGCAUUAAGCAUUCCGCCUGGGGAGUACGACCGCAAGGUUGAAACUCAAAGGAAUUGACGGGGGCCCGCACAAGCGGUGGAGCAUGUGGUUUAAUUCGAAGCAACGCGAAGAACCUUACCAGGUCUUGACAUCU
This 627-nucleotide ribosomal RNA is filed under the name Lacticaseibacillus rhamnosus. RNAcentral's name for it is "bacterial SSU rRNA". It matches the Rfam family "Bacterial small subunit ribosomal RNA", at positions 371 to 989 of the family's 1533-position model. Lineage: Bacteria; Bacillati; Bacillota; Bacilli; Lactobacillales; Lactobacillaceae. The record is from RNAcentral.